UGUUUAGAUACCACUUUUGAACUUCGGAGGCCCCGAAGACUCCUGGAAAUCAUGACUCUGAGAAUGUAGUGGAGCUUCUCUUAGUCUCAUCCUGGUAUCAUCUUUGCAGAAGGCAUACACAGCUAAGUUUGUCAAUGGAAAUGAUCAAUAUCGAAGAGAUGGCACCGAGUACC
Mastomys coucha (southern multimammate mouse) is the source of this 173-nucleotide long non-coding RNA. RefSeq lists it as uncharacterized. The transcript is spliced from 3 exons. The record is from RefSeq and is a predicted model, not a curated record. Lineage: Eukaryota; Metazoa; Chordata; Mammalia; Rodentia; Muridae.